UAUGGAGCACUCAAACUGCAUAGGCCCUACAAGGAUCUGAGCAGGAGUUGGGAUCCAAAACCUACUUUCUGUGUUGAAAGAGCAGUGUCCUUGGAAGCUUUUCUUGAUGGGUGGUGGCUGUUGUUGUUGUUGUUGUUCUUUAAGAUCAAAAACUUUGGUUUCAACUUGAGAAUCUCCACUACUAUUAGGCAGUCCAAUGUGCAAAGCCACUGUAACCUUGUCAAUUUUCUCUUCUUUAAGUCCAAA
Molecule: unclassified non-coding RNA, 246 nt
Filed under: Hevea brasiliensis (rubber tree)
Lineage: Eukaryota; Viridiplantae; Streptophyta; Magnoliopsida; Malpighiales; Euphorbiaceae
Source: RNAcentral